UUUUUUUUUUUGCCAUUUAUCCACGCCACUCUGAAUUUGCAUGUUAGACUUCUUCCUAGUGUGAUAGUAACUAGGAGUGUCGUGAAGUAAAUGGCUGGGAGGGUGGGCGGAGACAGCGAAUUACAAAACAUUAUUUGGGGUUUAUAAAGGAGUUAGGGCUGGAAAACACCAAGGAGGUGUUGUUACAGCCAAAAAUACUCCUGCUUAUGGUCUUCCUAGCACAGUUUAUUAUCUGCUAUUGGUUUUUAUUAGAUAAAUGUCCAAGUACAUUCAUAAGUUUCUUUAACAAAAAUUCAUUUGCCCAAAAUAUACUAGGAAGACAUGAGCAUGACUUUAAUCUUUUAUGAUUCAGAUGUCCAGAACUUUCUCAUAAUAAACUUUCAGUGAUAGAAAACCAAAAACACAUUUUAGUGUCUUAUUUUAAAUAUAGCUUUAUUUUGCCUCACGGGGUGUGUAAACAGGUUUUACAUUGAAAAGUAAAACCUUUCAUUUAACAUGCAAGCUACUCAGUUUUCUUUUUCAUAGAUAAGGUGUACCAGUAUGAUCUAUAUCGAAUUAAUUUCUAGAGCAAGCUAAAGGAGGGAUUUGUAUAUAGUACCAUAUGUACAUACAAUAGCAGAAUGAGGAAAUUGAGAAAACUUAGGUAGUGUGGUAAGUCAAUGCUUUUCUUCUUUUAGAAUGAAGUUUUCGUUUCUGCAUAAGGAUUCUUUGACAUCUUACGACCCAACUCUUUGCUAAAUAUUUGCCCCUUAAAAUAAUUUUUUUUUAUUGAGCAUACUUUGGCCCUCCAAAUUGACUAAUAUGUAUUUGGAUAAUUUUUACAUCUGUGUGUCUAUUAACUGCCUGCUAUCUUUUUGCAGGUAACUGUCCUGUACGUAAUUUUUUGGUCAGAGUGAUUACUCUUACUGCAUAAGAGUUUCCUAGAUAUUGUUGAUUAUGCCCUUUCUUUCCCUGUGAGGCCCUUCUUCUGGCAGGAGAAGUCAUGUGCUUUAAAGUUUGUAUAUUCAUCAUCCACACAUUUUUUUUUUUUCUAAAUUGAAAAUACAUCCUGUUUGCAGCAAAUAUUACUUUGUGGUAAAAAUUUUAAAACAACAGUGAUAACUGGUACACGUUUGAUAAUUGAUAGUUUGUUUCCUUAGAAAUAAUAUUACCUGUGAUGAAGAGACUGACUCAGAAAAGCUACUGCAAAUAAAGCUCUUGAUUAUACAUUUAUACUAUGCUUAAACUUAGAGAUGGAAACCGUAGACCCUCAAAACUACAUCCUUUUUGGGGAUAUGUUAGUAUUUGCUGUGUUGAAGUAAGUGACAAGUUUAGGUCGGCUGUAUAAAUUACGUACUUUAAUGCCACGGAAAUGAAAAGUAAAGCAAUUAUCUUGCUUCCCCAUUAUUUUGUAUUUAAUAAAUUUGUCAACAUUGGUUGAACUUUUUAUAUUAUAUACUAAAAAGUGUUUUAAAUGCUACAUAUAUCUUUAUGGCUACCUUUUGAAUUAUUUUUUAUUUUCUGAACUAAUGAUCCUAUUUGAAUGCAGUAAUUUUAUCUGUAUCAAUCGUGUGCUCAUUUCUGUUUGUUUUUUUAAAUUGUUUUAUACUUCUAUUUGCUACUCUUCUAUUUUUCUUUUAAUUGAAAACAAUAGGAGCAAAUGGUUUGAUGUUGGAAUUUUAUAAAUUGUAGAAAUACUGAUUUGGCUUAAAAUGUUUUCCCUGAUUGUGUGGUUUUUAGUAAAAUGAACUUUCUUACUCUCUUCUUUCAACUUGGUAUUUUUUGACAAUGUUUUUUGGAUUUGAUGUGUAACUGUUUAACUUUACAUAACAUUUAUUGGGCCUUAUAUUGAUAAUUUGAAAAAAUUUUAUAUUAGUAAGAUAUGUAUAAUUUUACUAAUAUUUUCAAUCAUGGUGAUGAGAGGUUAAUUCCACUUACUUUAGUGGGGUAUAUGUUCAUGUAUACAACUGCAUGCACAUGUAUGGUUUUGUGUGUUUGUACAGGGUGUUAUUUUGUGGUACUUUUUGUAAUGAGAGUAUUUCUUCUGGUUUUUUUUUUUUUUUCUCCUCAGUUUGUUUUAAUUAAAUUCUGUAAAAACCCAAAGUACCAUCAUGUCCAUAAUUGUUUGAACAGCUUCAUUUGGUUAGUAGUAGCAGCUAUCUGUCUCAAUGUGAGAUUAUGUAGAAAUUGGAUGCCAAAAGAGAAAAUCUUAAGCUUUCUCUCUCCCUCUAGCCCCCUUCGCUGCCCCCCUCCUCACUUUCUCCCUCUUUCCCCCUUCUUUCUUCCCUCUCUCCUCCAGGCCUUUUUUUGGUUUCUCUUUUUCUGUUUUGGCAUUUCUAUAAAGUCUCAAAGUAGUUUCUUAAAGUUCUUGGAGGGGAUACUGACAUUAAUCCUCACUAAUGAAUACCUGGUAGGUUUGAAGCCCCUAACGUUCAAGGCAAAGCAUUGUUAUAUCCUGAUAUGGUUCACCUCAUUUGUUAGAUGAUAUUGGCAUCUGAUUAGAGAUUUUCCUUGUUUUAAUAGUUUUUAAUUUUUUUCUCUGUGUUAAUUUACUUGUAACACAUUGUUUCACAUGACUUUAACACUUUAAUUAUGAGUAUUACUUCCUCCCUGCCCCCCCCCCCCCGGUUGUUCUUUGAAGUACAGAGUGGUCCAUACUUGUUUAAUACAGUUAUAUAAAUCAUUUCUUAUAAUUAUUAGAACAAUUCAUCUUCUAAUGCUGUCAUUUUUCUAAGAAGAAAAAAAGGCGAGAACUUGCAGAAAAUAUGGGAAAUAUGCUCAUAUGACAGCUGAGGAUGUGGCUAGGCUAAAGCAGGAAACUACUACCCACAAUGCAAUGUUACAUAUACUACCACUUAAUAAAAUUUAUAUCAAACAUGCUACUGACAAAACCAAAGAAAAAUAAUACUCCAGCUAUACUAGUUUAAUGUACUAAAUAUAGGGAAAAGUGAAACUAAUCUCUUUGGAACCUUUGUACUUGGAGAAUAUAGUAAAUGAACCUGUGGGACAUCAUAUAAUACAUUGGAGCCCUCUGGUAACUUUGCCUUUGUGCUAUGAGACUUGGUUGUAGGUGAAACCAUCUUUGAAGAGAACCUUUUGGGUAUUAACUGAAAAAGGCACAAAAAGGUGCCUGCCUUCUUUUUCAAUUGAGUUUUUGCAGUAUUAAAAAGGGUUAAAGGAUAUAAUGAUCUAGUAGGAAAAUAAGUUAAUUAUGAGAUAUUCAUCAUGAUUAUUUAAGCUUUUUAUCCAGCCAGGUGUGUAUUUCUUUACAUUUUGUUUUAAGUUGUUUUUUUUUAUUGCCAGGUCUGAAUUGGGGCUUAAACUGGAGUUGAAGUGUCCACUGAGGCAUAUUUCUUUUCAAAGUAAUUGUUUUCCUUGCUGUUUCUUUUUGUUUUUGUUAACCUGCCUAUAGCUUACCUGAUCGAUCCAUAUGCUUUACUGUCGGGAGGUUAGUUCAAAGCAAAAAUGUAAACUGCUUUUAUAAUGUGGUUGAAAAAGAUUGAGGAUAUAUUUUUUAAAAGUGAGAUUUCAGUAUACUUAGGAUUUCUGUUUAUAAAUCUUAAUCUUCUGUGCUCUUAGCUGUCAGACUUUAGCAAUUUUAAUGGAUUUAGGACCUUAGUAAUUUGGGUGAAUUUUGAGGUUUUAUAAAGGAGGUUUCAUGAGAUUUGAAUAAGGGAACAUAAUAGAGGUUUUGAAUUGAUAAUGUAUAGAAAUUUUAUCAGAGAGAGAAUAGAAAAGACUAUAAAGCUAAUGUUACUUAUGAAAGAUCCUCUGUUGGUAUUCCAGUGUAUGAAAUCGUUUCAUACCUGGCAUGGUAUUUGUCAUCUCAUCAUCUAAACAUGAAUAUAUUGUCUGUCUGUAUCUCUAAGGAUGAUUUGCUUAAUUGUUUGAAGUCUUUUCUCCUUUAGAGACUGCUUAUCAAUAACAGCUGUAGUGCUGUGGCUUUUCUCCAUGGACGCAUGGUGGUCUUUGGAACAACGUUCUUCAAUUUUGACAGUUUCUUACGUUAAAGAUUACAUGUAUGGGUCUUCUGAAUCGUGUUGAAUCGAACGUGGCUGUGGACACUCAUCUUUAAAAUUGAGCUAACACUCAUCCUAAGGUUAUUGUAUUCCAGCAUUUUCAUAUGGAUGAACUUCUACUUCUCUAUUUUUGGGGAACCGAGGAGAAGAUUUAUGCCUAAGUGUUUUCUAAAGAGUUUGUUAAGUAUCAUCUGACUUCUCAAUAAAUUAUAGUUCUGAUGA
Panthera uncia (snow leopard) is the source of this 4220-nucleotide long non-coding RNA. RefSeq lists it as uncharacterized. NCBI's taxonomy places the organism in Eukaryota, Metazoa, Chordata, Mammalia, Carnivora, Felidae. The transcript has 5 exons. The record is from RefSeq and is a predicted model, not a curated record.